ACUUUAUUACAAUUUCUUCGGAAUGACGAUUUAGUGACUGAGUGGCGGACGGGUGAGUAACGCGUGGGUAACCUGCCUUAUACAGGGGGAUAACAGUUGGAAACGGCUGCUAAUACCGCAUAAGCGCACAGUACCGCAUGGUACGGUGUGAAAAACUCCGGUGGUGUGAGAUGGACCCGCGUCUGAUUAGCUAGUUGGUGAGGUAACGGCCCACCAAGGCGACGAUCAGUAGCCGGCCUGAGAGGGUGAACGGCCACAUUGGAACUGAGACACGGUCCAAACUCC
RNAcentral lists this ribosomal RNA (285 nucleotides) under uncultured Lachnospiraceae bacterium. Its description in RNAcentral is "partial 16S ribosomal RNA". The stretch from base 47 to 285 matches the Rfam family "Bacterial small subunit ribosomal RNA", at positions 100 to 339 of the family's 1533-position model. The record is from RNAcentral. Lineage: Bacteria; Bacillati; Bacillota; Clostridia; Lachnospirales; Lachnospiraceae.